RNAcentral lists this ribosomal RNA (468 nucleotides) under uncultured bacterium. RNAcentral's name for it is "partial 16S ribosomal RNA". It matches the Rfam family "Bacterial small subunit ribosomal RNA", at positions 28 to 507 of the family's 1533-position model. The record is from RNAcentral.
GACGAACGCUGGCGGCGUGCUUAACACAUGCAAGUCGAACGGAAAGGCCCUGCUUUUGUGGGGUUCUCGAGUGGCGAACGGGUGAGUAACACGUGAGUAACCUGCCCUUGACUUUGGGAUAACUUCAGGAAACUGGGGCUAAUACCGGAUAGGAGCUCCUGCUGCAUGGUGGGGGUUGGAAAGUUUCGGCGGUUGGGGAUGGACUCGCGGCUUAUCAGCGUGUUGGUGGGGUAGUGGCUUACCAAGGCUUUGACGGGUAGCCGGCCUGAGAGGGUGACCGGCCACAUUGGGACUGAGAUACGGCCCAGACUCCUACGGGAGGCAGCAGUGGGGAAUAUUGCACAAUGGGCGGAAGCCUGAUGCAGCAACGCCGCGUGCGGGAUGACGGCCUUCGGGUUGUAAACCGCUUUCGCCUGUGACGAAGCGUGAGUGACGGUAAUGGGUAAAGAAGCACCGGCUAACUACGUG